This 1845-nucleotide long non-coding RNA is filed under the name Citrus x clementina. RNAcentral describes it as "Citrus clementina (C. clementina) long non-coding RNA (CCLE_LNC003446)". Lineage: Eukaryota; Viridiplantae; Streptophyta; Magnoliopsida; Sapindales; Rutaceae. The record is from RNAcentral.
UCAUGUUUAUAUUACAUAAAAAUUAAAAAAUAUUAAUUGACAUUAUAGUUGAUAAAAUAAAAAUUAUUAACAUAUUUAUGUAUAAUGGGGAUUGGGGUGGGGGUGGGGUGGGGAGUGCAAUACUAAACCCCACCCCGUUAACAAUUUGGGGGUUAUUUUUCUCCCACUCCCCACCUUAUUCUCCAAAAAUUAUUAAAAAUUUUUCCCAUUUGGGGUGGGGCUCCAUGGGGCCCCAAACCCGUGGAGGAUUUUGCCAUCCCUACAUUAAACUAUGGCAUUCGUUUUUUGGAACAUCACUUUAUGAAUUUAAGAUCACUAAUGCAAUUAUAGUAUUAAAUCAUGAAAUUUAAUAGUUUUCAUAGUCAUUAUACUAUUAAAACGCUUGGUUUAAUAGUCUUUCUAAACUUUAACAAAUCCAUAAUCUUAAAUUCGAACAUUUCUUUAUGAAUUUAGACAAAAAUGAUAUCUUUACUUCACAUUUAUUAAAUCCUACUUGUCAUGAAUAUGCAAUUCUUAUUAUUGUAAAAAAAAAAAUUGAUAACAAAAUUAAUGGAUAAAUGAUAAUGUUGUCACUGUCUCUAAUAAUUUACCUGAGAUAAAAUAAGCCAUUCAUAAAGAGAAUAGUAUUUUAAGCAAUGAAAAGUAAUAUAUUUCUAAUGACAGAUAAACUACUAGGCCUACAUGAUCAAGCUUCUAGUAACAUCCAAAUCGCAACUUGAUCUUUAAUCGUAAUAAUAACGCGGACUUGAGGAGUUUUUUUUGGUCUUGUUUUCAAUAAUAUACUUCAUUUGCGUAUAAUGUGGAAUCGUUGUUGAAACCGAUGUUGCAAUUACCUUUACUUAUUUCGUUUGCUCAAGUUUUCUAAAAAUUUUAAUCUGAUUUCCUUGCUUCUCAAAGAGUCGGCAUUUUACUUCAAAAUAAAUUAUUACACUACUAUAGCAAAACACUUCCAUAGUGAUGCUCUAUAUAAGAGUAACUUCUAUUCAGUUAUAAAAAAUCAUGAUCCUAAUUUGAGUUAGUUAUAUAGAAGAAUAAACUUCAAAUCAUAAUAAGUAAUAAUAUUUUUAUAUCUCGUCUUAAAAAACUUACCUGCACAAAAUAAUAAUUUUUUGUAUCUUACAAAACAUAUAACCUAAUUUUUUUUAAUUAUAUCUAUCUCUGUUAUCAAUGUCUAUAUAUUAAAUUUGACAUGCUCUAUUAAUUAAUUGUUAAUGCAGUGCAUAUUUUACUUUUAUAUCACUUACACUAAGGAGAAUUAAGUCAAAGCAAUAAUCUUUAUAACUGCACCUCUAUUGAGUUAUAACAAUCUCAUAACAAUAAAAUUAAUUUAGUCCCAACAUUAUGACCAUAGUAACAUUUUACUAUAUAAAAAUAAAUAAUGAAAUGAGAUAGGCGAGUCCAAAUCUGACAUUUCAACUAGAGUAUGAAGAUUGUAAUAACUUCAAAUCUAUAAUUCAACUCCAGAUUGUAACUCAAUACCUAAACUUUAAAAUUUUGGCAAAAAUACACGAACCACAUCAUCAAAAAGGUGAUAAUUUUGGUUCGUCAAGUCAAAAGCUUUGAAACAAGGCAUUAUAAGCCGAAUCCUGAAUCCGACGCCACGAGUUAUAGGAGUCAUCCCGAAGACAAAUGAAGGGUAAAAGCUCAUUUAUUUCUUAUAUUUUAAGAUUAGUAUCCAUUUAGUCCCUAUAUUUUUAAAAAUAUCUCGAAACAUCCAUGCCGUUAAAGUAUUGAUACCCCUACCGUUACUUUUUAUUUCUUUUGACUUACUUUUAUAAUAUUACCCUUUUAUAAUUUUUUUUGGUUGGACAUUAAUAAAAAGAAAAUAAUUAGAUUUCUAAUUUA